CAGAGUUGCAAGACUCCCUAAACCAUUGUGAACCUACCUUCUACCGUUGCUUCGGCGGGCGGGCCCAGCGCCCCCCCGGCCCCCGCGGGCGCCCGCCGGAGGAUACCCAAACUCUUUGACAUUAGUGGCCUCUCUGAGUAUUCUUUAAUGCAUUAUAGUAU
RNAcentral lists this unclassified non-coding RNA (161 nucleotides) under soil metagenome. RNAcentral describes it as "partial internal transcribed spacer 1". The record is from RNAcentral.